CGCGAGAUGGAGCGCCGUCGUGGCGAAGCGAGAUGUUUUUUCGAGAAGGGGAGGGGGAAGAUCGAAUGCAUUCACGUCCUGAGACGUGAUCACGACGAAGAUCGCUCGGAUGUCUCCGCGAUGUCGCUCGAUAAGUUUCGGAGCAUCUCGGUUCCGCUCGGUGGAGCGAGCGGUGGUCGUGGAGGGUCGACCGGUCGGUGAUUCGAUUCAGUCCUCGUACGUCCGCGCAACAGUUCGGAUAUCCCAUCGUGUAACAGGGAUUCGGCCUUCCUAAUUGGAGGAGUUUGUGUCGAGAGAGUUGAACGAGAUAAACUGAUACAAGUGCGCGGCGAGAUAAGCCGCGCGACUCGGCGGCGGCGGCGGCCCCUGCCCACCCGCCUGUAAUUGAACGAAUUCAAAAGUGAAGAGAGAGAGAGAGAGAGAGAGAGCCUCGCGCGGACGGACGGAUUGCCUCGUUGAUUGCCGAUUCCAAGGAGUUAGAGACGAGUUAGAGACAUCCAUCUCGGCGGACAUCCAAGGUAACAACAAGAUCUAGAAAACAGCUGGCACGAGCGAAGGUCACCGGCCAUGGAAUAUAAUUAGUCCGACACUUAUGGAACGUCAGGCCAGCUAUGGUUCGCAGUGGCCGCGACGAGGUAGACGAGGUAGCCUAGGCACUUGGAGAUCGGCCUUUGUGCGACACGUGUGGACAACGUUAUUUCCUUCUUAAAUACGGGUCCUUGGUCUGAAUCAUGUGCCGCUGCUUACAUCGCCGUAAAAGGAACGGAUCAGGAAGGAAACGACCAGCGACCAUAGUCAAUAUCGGGGGAAAAAAAAGAAAAAAAUAUUUCCGAGUAUAUCGGCUAUUUUUCAGAAGGCAAGAAACUUCCUAGUAUCCCAUUAUGGGAUACUUCUCGAUCGGAUCGAUCAUUCGAGGAAGCCUUGGACGAACCUCUGGAUUUUCCAAAUAGGAGGCAAUCGAUGGGGAAACUACGUGGUGGUAAUUGCGACAGUUGUAAUUACCAGUGUAUUAACCAGUUGCAAAUGUCGAACGAGCCAGCCUCGAGCCAGCCGCAAGGUUUCCCCCGUAAAUAGGGGAAGAAGAUUGUCCAAUUAACUGUCUCGUUUAAUUGAAUCUUAUUUCCUUUUCACUUGGUCCAGUUUCAUUGGGGCUUCUGCGCUUUAUCGCGUGAGUCGAAUGUAAUGCACAGCUCGGAGGUCGGAAGCUUGGCCGAAGAACAACCCACGACAAAAGAGGGAUCGAGUUGAACGUCGCGGGAUAUUUUUGGCCAUACUCCCGCCCACUCCAGCCUUCGACAGCUCGCAAAUUGUCGUCGUCGAGUGGCGCGUGAAUAUCGUGGAAACGGACUGUGCGGACCGUUUAAUGCUCGUUUAGACGCGCAGGCUAUUCUUUCAAAUUUUUUCAGACAAUUCGUUUUGCUGCGGUGGAACGAGGAAGAGGAGCAAGGAGGGAUGAAGAUGGAGGAAAGAGAGAGAGAGAGG
Apis florea (little honeybee) is the source of this 1482-nucleotide long non-coding RNA. RefSeq lists it as uncharacterized. Lineage: Eukaryota; Metazoa; Arthropoda; Insecta; Hymenoptera; Apidae. The record is from RefSeq and is a predicted model, not a curated record.